GAACGCUGGCGGCGUGCCUAAUACAUGCAAGUCGAGCGAACAGACGAGGAGCUUGCUCCUCUGACGUUAGCGGCGGACGGGUGAGUAACACGUGGAUAACCUACCUAUAAGACUGGGAUAACUUCGGGAAACCGGAGCUAAUACCGGAUAAUAUAUUGAACCGCAUGGUUCAAUAGUGAAAGACGGUUUUGCUGUCACUUAUAGAUGGAUCCGCGCCGCAUUAGCUAGUUGGUAAGGUAACGGCUUACCAAGGCAACGAUGCGUAGCCGACCUGAGAGGGUGAUCGGCCACACUGGAACUGAGACACGGUCCAGACUCCUACGGGAGGCAGCAGUAGGGAAUCUUCCGCAAAGGGCGAAAGCCUGACGGAGCAACGCCGCGUGAGUGAUGAAGGUCUUCGGAUCGUAAAACUCUGUUAUUAGGGAAGAACAAAUGUGUAAGUAACUAUGCACGUCUUGACGGUACCUAAUCAGAAAGCCACGGCUAACUACGUG
RNAcentral lists this ribosomal RNA (494 nucleotides) under uncultured bacterium. RNAcentral describes it as "partial 16S ribosomal RNA". It matches the Rfam family "Bacterial small subunit ribosomal RNA", at positions 31 to 507 of the family's 1533-position model. The record is from RNAcentral.